This 570-nucleotide ribosomal RNA is filed under the name Vibrio sp. OF1-05. Its description in RNAcentral is "bacterial SSU rRNA". It matches the Rfam family "Bacterial small subunit ribosomal RNA", at positions 46 to 604 of the family's 1533-position model. The record is from RNAcentral. Lineage: Bacteria; Pseudomonadati; Pseudomonadota; Gammaproteobacteria; Vibrionales; Vibrionaceae.
GCCUUAACACAUGCAAGUCGAGCGGUACCAGAAAUUAGCUUGCUAAUUUGCUGACGAGCGGCGGACGGGUGAGUAAUGCCUGGGAAUAUGCCUUGAUGUGGGGGAUAACUAUUGGAAACGAUAGCUAAUACCGCAUAAUGUCUUCGGACCAAAGAGGGGGAUCUUCGGACCUCUCGCGUCAAGAUUAGCCCAGGUGAGAUUAGCUAGUUGGUGGGGUAAGAGCUCACCAAGGCGACGAUCUCUAGCUGGUCUGAGAGGAUGAUCAGCCACACUGGAACUGAGACACGGUCCAGACUCCUACGGGAGGCAGCAGUGGGGAAUAUUGCACAAUGGGCGAAAGCCUGAUGCAGCCAUGCCGCGUGUAUGAAGAAGGCCUUCGGGUUGUAAAGUACUUUCAGUCSUGAGGAAGGGUGUGUAGUUAAUAGCUGCACAUCUUGACGUUAGCGACAGAAGAAGCACCGGCUAACUCCGUGCCAGCAGCCGCGGUAAUACGGAGGGUGCGAGCGUUAAUYGGAAUUACUGGGCGUAAAGCGCAUGCAGGUGGUUCAUUAAGUCAGAUGUGAAAGCCCG